Molecule: ribosomal RNA, 406 nt
Filed under: uncultured bacterium
Lineage: Bacteria
Description: partial 16S ribosomal RNA
Rfam family: Bacterial small subunit ribosomal RNA
Source: RNAcentral
GCUGAACGCUAGCUACAGGCUUAACACAUGCAAGUCGAGGGACCGGCGCACGGGUGAGUAACACGUAUCCAACCUGCCCUUUACCCGGGGAUAGCCUUUCGCAAGAAAGAUUCAUACCCGAUAUACAGGAUUGGGAUGCGUUCCAUUAGUUUGUUGUUGAGGUAACGGCUCACCAAGCCUUCGCUGGAUAGGGGUUCUGAGAGUAAGGUCCACCACAGGGGAACUGCGGCACGGUCGAAACUCCUACGGGAGGAAGCAGUGAGUAAUAUUGGUCAAGGGGCGCUUACCUGAACCAGCCAAGUAGCGUGAAGGAUGCAGGCGUAUGGGUCGUAAUCUUCUCUUAUAUAAGAAUAUGUAUUAUAUGAAGAAGGAUCGGCUAACUCCGUGCCAGCCGCCGCGGUAAUAC